CCUACGGGAGGCAGCAGUAGGGAAUCUUCGGCAAUGGACGGAAGUCUGACCGAGCAACGCCGCGUGAGUGAAGAAGGUCUUCGGAUCGUAAAGCUCUUUUGUAAGAGAAGAACGAGUGUGAGAUUGGAAAGUUAACACCGUGACGGUAUCUUACAAGAAACGGACGGCUAACUACGUGCCAGCAGCCGCGGUAAUACGUAGGUCCCGAGCGUUGUCCGGAUUUAUUGGGCGUAAAGCGAGCGCAGACGGUUAGAAAGUCUGAAGUUAAAGGCUGUGGCUUAACCAUAGUACGCUUUGGAAACUGUUUAACUUGAGUGCAAGAGGGGAGAGUGGAAUUCCAUGUGUAGCGGUGAAAUGCGUAGAUAUAUGGAGGAACACCGGUGGCGAAAGCGGCUCUCUGGCUUGUAACUGACGCUGAGGCUCGAAAGCGUGGGGAGCAAACAGGAUUAGAUACCCUGGUAGUC
RNAcentral lists this ribosomal RNA (464 nucleotides) under uncultured Streptococcus sp. Its description in RNAcentral is "bacterial SSU rRNA". It matches the Rfam family "Bacterial small subunit ribosomal RNA", at positions 338 to 795 of the family's 1533-position model. The record is from RNAcentral. Lineage: Bacteria; Bacillati; Bacillota; Bacilli; Lactobacillales; Streptococcaceae.